This is a long non-coding RNA of Onychostoma macrolepis, 540 nucleotides long. RefSeq lists it as uncharacterized. NCBI's taxonomy places the organism in Eukaryota, Metazoa, Chordata, Actinopteri, Cypriniformes, Cyprinidae. The transcript has 3 exons. The record is from RefSeq and is a predicted model, not a curated record.
CCACAGAAGUUGUAACUGUGUAUCUUCCAGAUAAAAUUCUUCUAGAAUGUUACUAACAACAUAUUUCUGCCUCAUCAUUCGACCAAAAUCCACAUUGGAUCGCAGUCAGAAGUUAUUACAAACACUCAAUAGUGACUGAUAGUGACAUUCAAGUAGAAGUGUUGCAUUAAUCUCAUUAAUUGUCAUGUGUACACUCUAAAAAAAGAUAGUUCUUUAAAGGUUCUUUACAUGUAGUCACGGUUAUAUUUAGAACCAUAGCAUCCUGAAGAACCCUUUUAUGCUGAAAUGGUUCUUUGUGUUAGAGUUUAGGGUUCUUUGUUCCCGCCCUUUUGUUUUUCAAAUCUGUAACUGUCAAAGCACCUCAUUACUGAUCUUCUGGAGUUCAGUGAUACAACUACACAGACCGUCAACACACUCUCAACAGUUUUUUUGGUCACAUGUAAGUGUGAGCAGCUCUUUUACUUCUCUCCUCUUCUCCGCCAAAUGCAUCACAUCCCACAACCUCAUCAUCUGCAGAUAAACUGUCACUCAGUCACACCA